UCGCCCGGGGCGCGCCCCGGGCGGGGCGGGGGCACGGGGGAACGCGAAGAACCUUACCAGGCCUUGACAUGCAGAGAACUUUCCAGAGAUGGAUUGGUGCCUUCGGGAACUCUGACACAGGUGCUGCGUGGCUGUCGUCAGCUCGUGUCGUGAGAUGUUGGGUUAAGUCCCGUAACGAGCGCAACCCUUGUCCUUAGUUACCAGCACGUUAUGGUGGGCACUCUAAGGAGACUGCCGGUGACAGACCGGAGGAAGGUGGGGAUGACGUCAAGUCAUCAUGGCCCUUACGGCCUGGGCUACACACGUGCUACAAUGGUCGGUACAGAGGGUUGCCAAGCCGCGAGGUGGAGCUAAUCUCACAAAACCGAUCGUAGUCCGGAUCGCAGUCUGCAACUCGACUGCGUGAAGUCGGAAUCGCUAGUAAUCGCGAAUCAGAAUGUCGCGGUGAAUACGUUCCCGGGCCUUGUACACACCG
This 475-nucleotide ribosomal RNA is filed under the name uncultured Pseudomonas sp. RNAcentral's name for it is "bacterial SSU rRNA". It matches the Rfam family "Bacterial small subunit ribosomal RNA", at positions 910 to 1392 of the family's 1533-position model. Lineage: Bacteria; Pseudomonadati; Pseudomonadota; Gammaproteobacteria; Pseudomonadales; Pseudomonadaceae. The record is from RNAcentral.